RNAcentral lists this non-coding RNA (28 nucleotides) under Rattus norvegicus (Norway rat). Lineage: Eukaryota; Metazoa; Chordata; Mammalia; Rodentia; Muridae. The record is from RNAcentral.
CUGCCUCAUGCCUAGACCAGAAUCAGAU